GUGCCCUAUGAAAGCUAUGAAGGCACAGUCAUUACUCCCAUUUCACAGAUGAGGACACAGAGGCACAGAACAGUGAACUGACCUGCUGGAAGACACCCAACUGGCAAAGACAGAUCUUAAAUCCAGAUUUGGAAACUGAAUCCCCAGAAGGGAAGGCGACUUGCCCAAGAGCACACAGAGACAGUGCCUAAAGGACUUCUGACCAUCAGUCCACAGCUUGUUCCACUCGACACAGAGUCCAAGAAUACUGACCUUGUAUUAAUAAAAACACUCUUCCCAUCCUCCAAACACCCACAGGAAGACUUGAACGCUCUAUGAUUCCAAGUAUUCUCCAAAAGAUGUCUUUCCUUUCUAUCAAAAUUGCAAGCAUUUCAAGGGAAAAGUCUGUGCUUGACUACCUUAUCAUCGUCAUUGUAUGCCCAGCACUAUGCUUCAGGCUCUUGAGGGCAGAAAUUAUUGCCUAACACCUCGGAUUGUUAGGGGCAGAUGCUCAAUAAAUAGGACUAAUUAAUACACCCCCACUUUUAAAAAAGAGGAAUAAGGUAGUGGAGAAAAGAGAAUAUAUAUUAAGAAAUCAA
Molecule: long non-coding RNA, 578 nt
Organism: Bubalus bubalis (water buffalo)
Lineage: Eukaryota; Metazoa; Chordata; Mammalia; Artiodactyla; Bovidae
Exons: 2
Source: RefSeq, a predicted model, not a curated record